RNAcentral lists this long non-coding RNA (1058 nucleotides) under Monodelphis domestica (gray short-tailed opossum). RNAcentral describes it as "lncRNA (ENSMODG00000049778.1)". Lineage: Eukaryota; Metazoa; Chordata; Mammalia; Didelphimorphia; Didelphidae. The record is from RNAcentral.
UGUAGCAAAAUGGACAAAAGCCACUUAGGAUGGCUGGACACGGAAACUUCUGAUCUACUUUGCUGAAGCGGACAUCUAAAUGAAUGAGAUCUCAGACGUGUUUGAGAAUUUGAGGAAGGACGAAAUCGUUAAAUAUAACACGCUACAAGAGAAGUUACAACAGAAGACAUUUUCUUCUAAGAGCUGAAUAAAUUUUUCUUAUAGGUGAAAUUAAACCCUGUACUUAAUCAUUCUAAAAACCACACCCAUCAUUCAAACAUGACAUUUUGCAGUGUUUUCUAUUUAUACCUCUACGUAUUUAGUGUAACUUCUCUACUACAGAGCUAAGAAUGAACUGUCAGAAUCCCAAAAGGAUCAUAAAAAUGGGAGAAGAUGGUAAAAGGAAGGCUAUGCCUUUUUUCCUACUCUUGUUACCGAUGGAUAAAGAUGAUGAUAAAAAGAAGAAAAGGGAAUCCAUCUGAACACUCUCUCUUCCGGGACAGCCUUUUGGUCCGUCUUCCAGAAGUCUCUCCAACACCCUCGACAACUCAGCUGUCAAAGUGACUUAACUAAAACAUUUUUCUGGUGAUAUCACAUCCCACCCUCCACUCAAUAAACUUCACUGGCUCUGUAUUUCUUCAGGAUUAAAUAUAAAAUCAUCUGGUACUUUAUACAAAUGGAGAUCCUCAAGAAGGUCAAUAGGAAGAACCAAGCCAGAUUUGUUGCUUGUGAUUUAAGCAAGAACAGAUUUUCUCUAAAAGAAACUAAUUAAAAUGCAAAUUUCAUCUUGGGAGAGAAAAUUCCCAGUGUUUCCUCAAAGCCUGAGCUGGAUGACUGCCAGAGGUCCCUAUCGAACUGCAAGGUUCUAUGAUGUGAUUCUCUUCUUUUUGACCAAUCAGAACAAGGAUUUCCACUUGCACAUCUGUGGACACAUUGUUCUCAUCCCCUAUAUUAUUUUCACCUAUUUAAUUAUGGGCUUUUAUUCAAGAUCCAACUUAAACAUCAUGACUUCUCUGAAGUUUUUACAAGAUGUGUCAACGGACUAAUUUAUAAUAAAUGUUUUUUCUCAAUGUAUGGCA